GUUCUGAGAGGAAGGUCCCCCACAUUGGAACUGAGACACGGUCCAAACUCCUACGGGAGGCAGCAGUGAGGAAUAUUGGUCAAUGGACGGGAGUCUGAACCAGCCAAGUAGCGUGAAGGAUGACUGCCCUAUGGGUUGUAAACUUCUUUUAUAUGGGAAUAAAGUUUUCCACGUGUGGAAUUUUGUAUGUACCAUAUGAAUAAGGAUCGGCUAACUCCGUGCCAGCAGCCGCGGUAAUACGGAGGAUCCGAGCGUUAUCCGGAUUUAUUGGGUUUAAAGGGAGCGUAGGUGGACAGUUAAGUCAGUUGUGAAAGUUUGCGGCUCAACCGUAAAAUUGCAGUUGAUACUGGCUGUCUUGAGUACAGUAGAGGUGGGCGGAAUUCGUGGUGUAGCGGUGAAAUGCUUAGAUAUCACGAAGAACUCCGAUUGCGAAGGCAGCUCACUGGACUGCAACUGACACUGAUGCUCGAAAGUGUGGGUAUCAAACAGGAUUAGAUACCCUGGUAGUCCACACAGUAAACGAUGAAUACUCGCUGUUUGCGAUAUACAGUAAGCGGCCAAGCGAAAGCAUUAAGUAUUCCACCUGGGGAGUACGCCGGCAACGGUGAAACUCAAAGGAAUUGACGGGGGCCCGCACAAGCGGAGGAACAUGUGGUUUAAUUCGAUGAUACGCGAGGAACCUUACCCGGGCUUAAAUUGCAUUUGAAUAUAUUGGAAACAGUAUAGCCGUAAGGCAAAUGUGAAGGUGCUGCAUGGUUGUCGUCAGCUCGUGCCGUGAGGUGUCGGCUUAAGUGCCAUAACGAGCGCAACCCUUAUCUUUAGUUACUAACAGGUCAUGCUGAGGACUCUAGAGAGACUGCCGUCGUAAGAUGUGAGGAAGGUGGGGAUGACGUCAAAUCAGCACGGCCCUUACGUCCGGGGCUACACACGUGUUACAAUGGGGGGUACAGAAGGCAGCUACCUGGUGACAGGAUGCUAAUCCCAAAAGCCUCUCUCAGUUCGGAUCGAAGUCUGCAACCCGACUUCGUGAAGCUGGAUUCGCUAGUAAUCGCGCAUCAGCCAUGGCGCGGUGAAUACGUUCCCGGGCCUUGUACACACCGCCCGUCAAGCCAUGAAAGCCGGGGGUACCUGAAGUACGUAACCGCAAGGAGCGUCCUANGGUAAAACUGGUAAUUG
This 1176-nucleotide ribosomal RNA is filed under the name Bacteroides thetaiotaomicron. RNAcentral describes it as "bacterial SSU rRNA". It matches the Rfam family "Bacterial small subunit ribosomal RNA", at positions 289 to 1477 of the family's 1533-position model. The record is from RNAcentral. Lineage: Bacteria; Pseudomonadati; Bacteroidota; Bacteroidia; Bacteroidales; Bacteroidaceae.